This 279-nucleotide ribosomal RNA is filed under the name Triticum aestivum (bread wheat). RNAcentral's name for it is "partial small subunit ribosomal RNA". Lineage: Eukaryota; Viridiplantae; Streptophyta; Magnoliopsida; Poales; Poaceae. The record is from RNAcentral.
AUGAGGCCACAGGUGCUGCUCGCCGCGCUGGCCAUCGUCGUCGUCCUCGCAGCAGCUCUGCCCCUUACCAAAGGCCAAGGUGUGACGCUGUGCUGCAACAAGUGUGGCUUCUGCACUAGGUCCUUCCCGCCGCAGUGUACACGCAUGGAUGCCUCGCCGUCCGGGUGCAACCCGGCUUGCAAGACCUGCGCCAAGUCCACCGUCACUGGCCGUGAUGGCUUGCAGUGCAAGGAUCUCGUCACCAACUUCUGCAAGAACCGCUGCACUAAGGCCGCGUGA